Molecule: RNA transcript, 1676 nt
Organism: Vigna radiata var. radiata (mung bean)
Lineage: Eukaryota; Viridiplantae; Streptophyta; Magnoliopsida; Fabales; Fabaceae
Gene name: probable dual-specificity RNA methyltransferase RlmN
Exons: 11
Source: RefSeq, a predicted model, not a curated record
UUUUUUUGUUCAUUUUAUGAGUUUUCAUUAUCUUCUUCUCAUCUCAUGCCAAAGCCAAGAGUGAAGAAGCAAAGGUAAGAUUCAACUACACUCCAAUCCAAUGCUGGCGCUAAUUCAGAACUGCUCCAUGCCACUCGCGCGUACGGUGCGACCUCCAUAUCGCACCCAGGUCCAACCUUAUUUCUCGUCCGUUGUGCGUGCAUCCAUGUCCCCACUUGUCAAAUUUCCGUCUCAGGUUCUCCUUGGUUUGUCAGAGAAGGAGCUGGGACAGCUUGCCCUUAACUUCGGUCAGGAAACCUACAGGGGCAAGCAACUUUAUCAUUUCUUAUACCAGAGGAAGUUUAGAGAAAUUAAGGAUUUCUAUCAGUUGCCUGAGGUUUUUAGGAAUAAUCUUGAAGAAGCUGGAUGGAAGGUGGGGCGGUCUCCUAUUUUCGAAACUGUAACUGCAGCUGAUGGAACUGUUAAGUUGUUGUUAAAGUUGGAGGACAAUAGAUUGAUUGAAACUGUUGGCAUUCCAGUUAUGGAUGAUACAGGUUUGAGUCGCCUCACGGCAUGUGUCUCAUCACAGGUUGGUUGCCCUUUACGCUGCUCCUUUUGUGCCACUGGAAAAGGGGGGUUUUCAAGGAAUCUUCAGAGACAUGAAAUCGUUGAUCAGGUCUUGGCCAUUGAAGAGGUCUUCAAGCAUAGGGUGUCAAAUGUAGUGUUUAUGGGAAUGGGUGAACCAAUGUUAAAUCUGAAGGCAGUACUUGAAGCACACCGUUGCUUGAAUAAGGAUGUGAAAAUUGGGCAAAGAAUGAUAACCAUCUCCACUGUGGGCGUUCCAAAUACAAUAAAGAAACUUGCUUCUCACAAACUUCAAUCUACCUUAGCUGUGAGCCUACAUGCUCCUAAUCAGAAACUUAGGGAGACAAUUGUUCCAAGUGCAAAAUCCUACCCGCUGGAUGCACUUAUGUCAGACUGCAGAGAUUACUUUGGGCAAACCAACAGGCGGGUUUCCUUUGAAUAUGCACUUUUAGCUGGAGUCAAUGACUCGGAAGACCAUGCAGCAGAACUUGCUGAGUUACUCCAUGGAGCGGGCAGUGGAUAUCAUGUCAACUUGAUACCUUUCAAUCCAAUAGAGGACUCUGAGUAUAAGCGUCCCUCCAAGAGAGCAGUGCUAGCAUUUUCUGGUGCUUUGGAGUCUGCUAAAAUAACUGUUAGUGUUCGUCAUACAAGAGGGUUGGAUGCAAAUGCAGCUUGUGGCCAGCUACGGAACAAGUUCCAGAAAACUCCUCUGGUCACCGACCCUAUGGGUCUUGGAGUAAGCUGUUGAUUGCACAAUGUCUCUUUCUUGGCUGUUGAUUUUACCUACAUGCCUGUAUGUCAUGCAUACAGUAACAAGUUUGCAGUAAGCAGUUGGCCUUGGAAAUUUUUGCUGGAUCAUGAUGGCUACACUGAGAGCAACACGUUAUGAAACAGCAGAGAGUUAGACCUAAAAGGCAAGAGGGAGAGAUUUUCCCAUGUGUCUGACCUCUUAUUGCUGUAAAAACAUGCUUAAUUUUCUUGUUGUAAGUUGCACACUUCCCAGUAGAAAAUAACAGAGUAACAAUUUAAAACUACUAUCUUGUUUUGAGAUGUACCAAAAUAUAUUUGUUAAUGAGGUUGCUUAAAUGAAGCAAAUUAGCUAUUGUUUAAUA